CCUGGCGGCGAAAGUGCAGUGGUCCCACCUGACCCCAUGCCGAACUCAGAAGUGAAACGCUGUAACGCCGAUGGUAGUGUGGAGUCCCUCCAUGCGAGAGUAGGACACCGCCAGGU
This 116-nucleotide ribosomal RNA is filed under the name Actinobacillus delphinicola. The record is from RNAcentral. Lineage: Bacteria; Pseudomonadati; Pseudomonadota; Gammaproteobacteria; Pasteurellales; Pasteurellaceae.